AGUGAACGUUGGCGGCGUGGAUUAGGCAUGCAAGUCGAGCGAUCGUAGCAAUACGGGAGCGGCAAACGGGGUAGGAAUACAUCGGAACGUACCUUUUGGUUGAGAAUAGCGUUGGGAAACUGACGGUAAUACUCAAUAAAGUCGAGAGACCAAAGGUUUACUGCCGGAAGAGCGGCCGAUGCGAUAUUAGGUAGUUGGUGGGGUAAUGGCCUACCAAGCCUGAGAUGUCUAGGGGGUGUGAGAGCAUGGCCCCCACCACUGGGACUGAGAUACUGCCCAGACACCUACGGGUGGCUGCAGUCGAGGAUCUUCGUCAAUGGGCGAAAGCCUGAACGAGCGACGCCGCGUGCGGGAUGAAGGCCCUUGGGUUGUAAACCGCUGUCAGGGGGAGUGAAACCGUAAGGUUGACAGAGCCCCAGAGGAAGCACGGGCGUAAGUUCGUGCCAGCAG
This 450-nucleotide ribosomal RNA is filed under the name uncultured bacterium. RNAcentral describes it as "bacterial SSU rRNA". It matches the Rfam family "Bacterial small subunit ribosomal RNA", at positions 29 to 514 of the family's 1533-position model. The record is from RNAcentral.